UGUCCUACGGGGGGCAGCAGUGGGGGAUAUUGCACAAUGGGGGGAACCCUGAUGCAGCGACGCCGCGUGGGCGAUGGAGUGCUUCGGUACGUAAAGCUCUAUCAGCAGGGAAGAAUAAUGACGGUACCUGACUAAGAAGCCCCGGCUAACUACGUGCCAGCAGCCGCGGUAAUACGUAGGGGGCAAGCGUUAUCCGGAUUUACUGGGUGUAAAGGGAGCGUAGACGGCUGUGCAAGUCUGAAGUGAAAUGCCGGGGCCCAACCCCGGAACUGCUUUGGAAACUGUACAGCUAGAGUGCAGGAGGG
This 305-nucleotide ribosomal RNA is filed under the name uncultured bacterium. RNAcentral's name for it is "bacterial SSU rRNA". It matches the Rfam family "Bacterial small subunit ribosomal RNA", at positions 335 to 656 of the family's 1533-position model. The record is from RNAcentral.